This is a non-coding RNA of Rattus norvegicus (Norway rat), 2993 nucleotides long. NCBI's taxonomy places the organism in Eukaryota, Metazoa, Chordata, Mammalia, Rodentia, Muridae. The record is from RefSeq and is a predicted model, not a curated record.
CCUGCAAUAGUUAUUGUACUACACUACCAGUCUCCCAACAAGAGACCUAACAUUGAAAGCUUUCAAUUCUCCAAGAAUAAUAUAAUGAAGAUCAGUUUUAAGAAGAAUCUGACAAGGAUUUCUCGGAGCAAAGAUUAUUCCAUGCCAAAGACAGACCACCCACUAUGGCCAUGAAGUCUGAGAGAUAAAUUCACCUCGGCAUUUGAGGGAUCAUAUCCAUGUGGUUGUCUGUCCUGUCAUAAUCUAACCCACAGGAUCACCAGCAAGAAAUGUACAGUCUAAAAGGAUCAAUUUCACGGAGUUUUUCUGGAUGUUCUUCUCUCCGACAUGAACACAUGUCCAUGAGUCUGAGUUUACAAGUGCACAGAGAGUGACUUACAUUAAGCCUGACUGUUUUAAUACCCUUCAUAUCUGCAAAGGGGAAAAUGGAAUAAACACAAGAGUCCUAUUAGUUCAAUUCAAAUUCAGCGUCUGGUCCCCAAAAGCUAUUGAUCACAGGCAAGUUUUUAGGUCAUUUAUUUGUCUGUUCAUUCACUUGAAAAUCACUACCGAUGAUGCAUCUGGCGAGUGUGGCCAUGUUUUCUGUAGGAUACGGAGAUGAAUACAGACAAUGUCCUUGGCCUAAAGGAGUCUGACAUCGUACACAGAUAAAAAUAAUAAAAAAUCAGAUUGUGAUAAAAGAUAUAAAGUAGAUAUGAUCAUGGGGUGCAGUGAUUUAGAGGGUGGUUAUAAAAACAUAUCGCAGGGAGAACAUUCUGCUGGCAGCUCAUUUCCUUCCAGAUUAGCUAGCUGGAAGGAAUAACUGACAGCUCCCACCCAGGCGCACAGUGGUUUCUAUUCACUCAGACCACGAUGCCUCAACCACGGCUAUCAGAUUUUAAAAAGCACAAAAAAUUAAAAAUUAAAGAGAAGGGAAAGAAAUGGAUUGGUUUAAAUUAAAGAGGGAAACAGAAUUGGAAGGUAGAAAACCGAAAAGCUUGACAGUUAAUUCAAACAUGGCACAAACAGGUAAGUGCUUGGUGUCCUGACAGAGUGACCGGCUGAGGCCUUGACAAAUCAUUCUGGCUUCUGUGCUUUUACUCAGUCUGGCCAGGAAGGUGACUUAACUUCUGGUCACCUGAACUCUCCCAUCCAGGGUCUGGUGCCUGCAUUUACAGCUCUAAAGCAUGGAGUAAAUAAAAAAGCAAAGUAGGUUUUGACUGGCGACAAGGAGGUCAAAGUUACAUGAAAGUCUGAAUUCUCUUGCACUUCAGUAAGAUUCAAGGUCCAGGUUUCUAAUGGGGCCAGAAGAGCAGGUUCACGGUUGACAAACUCACAUUGAGGUGACUCACUCUGCCCACAUUUUCUAGAUAGAAGGAAAGCCUCCCUAUGACUAAUCAAGGUGUUUUCCUUGUCCAAGACGAUAUUUUCAGCAAUCUAUGCCUAUAUUAUAGACGACACUACAAAAAGCUCACAUCUAUACAAUAAGUUGAUUCACAGUUGAUUUUGCUAAUUUAACUUCACAUAAUGAAUUUUGAAAGUGCAUUUACCCAUAACUUGAACAUAAUUUUCUUAAAUGUUCAGCCCUUAAUAGAGUCCCCAUAGAGGACAAAAAUAUUAAACCGUAUCAAUAAUGCUCACAAAUCUUACAUAUCUUACCACUUAGUCAUUCCAGUACAAAACCAAUCAUUUCAUAGCUUAAAAUCCAAUUCUACAUAUUUAUCCAUGAAAACACUCCAGCAAAUAAAAACACAUCUAUUUUCUCUAUAGAUUCAUGUUUACACGAAAACGGUGGGAUGCUUGGAAUUAGAGAAUCUGCACAUAAAACAGGCUGUGAACUAAUUAUUAAAACUAAGUGAUAGCAAAAGAAACCUCGGCGUAUGACUCUUUACUCUGCCUAUAGGGAGGAAUUUAUGUUGCCACCUGUACAAGUAAACUACAAAGACUUUAUUGAGGUAACUAAAAUUUUCUGAGAAACACUUAAAUAUAUGUACACUUUCCAAUAUAACUUAAAUAUAAUGUGUUUUAUCACUUAUAGUCAUGAAAUUUGAAACUAUGUUCUCAAAAUCAUGUUGCUCCGUGGAGUUGGAUAACAGAUGUGGGAGCCAUGAAAUAAGUGCCCAGAGAAUAAGUUUUCUAGACACACAUUAAUAAAAAUGUAUUAUGAGUUUAAGGCAUUUCUAGCUAUGCUGACCUGUGUGCUAUAGAAUGCAUUAGUUACUUUCUCAGUGCUGUGAUAAAACAUCUUGACAAAACCAACUUAGCGGAGAAGAGAGGAUAUUGUCUUAGGAGAAACUGCCCAUUAAGGCCUGGAAGAUAUGACAGAAGGCAAGGAAGUUUUGGUGGCAAAAGCCAGCACCUGGAAGGUCACGUUGUGUUUGCACUCAAGAAGCACAGUGUGUGAACAGGAAGUACAGCCAGCAUCUCAAGCUUCGAGGCCUUCUUCCUGUGAACUGCUUCCUCCAGUGAGUCUCCGUCUCCUAAAGGAUCCACCGACUUCCAGCAAGCGCCUGAGCUGGGGACUGAGUGCUCCAAACAGUAAGCAUCCCUUGAUUGUAUGGUAGCCUUGGUUCUGAAUACACUGCAUGUUCACUCCUCACUGAGCUUGCCAGGGCCACACCGUGCACUCCUGGAGACAGUGUCUUUAACCUGAGACCACUUUAUGGUUAUGAGUCACAGUGUCUGACACACUAUGCAGUUUGUUUCACUCAUAGAAACACAAUAGUUUAAUAACAGAAAAAGACUUUUAGUAGAGACUUCCCACCACCGUUCCACUGCCUGUAUUUUAUUAAUAUAGCCUUUGAUUAUGUUUCGCUAUAAAGUUUGUUUUUAAAUUUUCAUACUUGAGUUGCAUAAACAAUGAUUAAAUUUGUCUUGAGACUAGGACAGAAUUUCUAGCACCUUCUAAAAGGGCCCUAAAUAACCUUGGGCCAUUUUGUCCUCUGUGUUUAUGUAAAAUGGACAUUCUCGGCUCUGUUAUAAAAUCAGAAUUUUGGCUUAACAUUUAAAACCAU